This 5321-nucleotide long non-coding RNA is filed under the name Homo sapiens (human). RNAcentral describes it as "HSALNT0308676". Lineage: Eukaryota; Metazoa; Chordata; Mammalia; Primates; Hominidae. The record is from RNAcentral.
UCCAGUCUGGGAGACAGAGUGGUACCCCAUCUCUAAAAAAAACAACAAAAACAAACAAAAAAACCAGAGGUACAAGUUACCUGGGACUCCUAGUAGGAGAAGGUUUGGGUGGUAAAGAAUAGACUCAUGGAAACAGGGGUAUUGAAGAGAGAUUCUAAAAUUGUACUGGGAAGUUUUCAGAAAGACAACUAAAGACUUAGGUGGAAAUCAGGGUACAGAGUAAUUUUAAGAGAACUGUACCUCAAUUUUCAGUUCCUUUUAGUAUGAAUGUGUAUUAGAAACAGAAACAAAGACCAGAACCAGAGAGCCCAAACUUCCGCUGAGCACAGCUUUGUCCAGAGAGUCCCUGAAUACCUCAGCAGGGGUCUGAGGAAUCUAGGCAUAUGUCUUUUCUGUCAUAAAUGUUCAGACAGUUUCUUGUUUUUUUUUUUGUGAGGUAUAGGGUAAAGUAAUACUUAAAGUUAUUCUCUUUAUAAAUGUGGCAUAUACAAAUGUAAAAAGUAGGGAUAUAUUUCCACUUACCUGUUUGAAUGUGUCAUGUAUUAUCAUCUCCUUUUGAGCUGGAGGUUAUCAGAGAGCAUCUCAAUUUAUAGAAAUGGAAUCUGAGGCCUUCAGCAUGAAUCUUUGGGUGAAUUUAUUUAUACAAGCCUGUUUUCUUAACAACUAGUUGGUCACAUGGCUAGAAACUAGGGUUUCGUCAUAGUCCAUGAUGCUCAAGGUCACACUGAGAGGCAGGAUGUACAGUUAUAGAACAACCCUAUAUCCCCACACAGCUUUUAGACAAUGUCUUUUACUUACACAGGCUUCUCUAGGACCACUUUUUAACCACAAUCUAUUACUGAUCUUCUGGUAAACUGCAUUCCUUUUAGCAAAAUUAACUAAGUUUUCCCAUCUAUUAUCAUACAGGUCUUCAGUUACCCUCACAUUUGUAAAUUAACUGGGUGUAUAAAUAUAUGAUACCCAAGUAAAUCUUUAUUUUUUUCACAGCCUACAUAAGGAAGACAUCUUGCAAAUAUGAUAUAAAAAGAGCCUUUAUAUCAAAUUAUAAUAUAUUAAUAUGUCAUUACAAAUUAAUAAUCCUGAGAAUAUUUUCUAUAUAUCCUAUAAUAAAAUAUUUCAAAAUAUUUUACAUGUCUAUAUAAGAAUUUAUAAGAGUUCAUUAUGGGUGACAACAUUUCACAUGAGAGAAAAUUUAUGACAAGAUUUCUAAGUAAAACUAAACCCACUCAUGGGUUUAUAAUUAUUAUUAUUUAUAGCAGUACUGUACAGUAGAAAUAUAAUGUGUACCACAAAUACAAGCUGCAUGUGUAAUUAAUUUUUCUAGUGGCCAUUUUAAAAAUAUUUAAAACAUACAAAAUUAAUUUUAACAUAUUUAAUUUAAUCCAAUAUAUCUAAAAUAUCAUUUCAACAUGUAUGCAUGUAAAAACUUAUUAGUGAUAUACUUUACCUUCUUUGUUUUUUAUACUAGGUCUUUGAAACCCAGUGUGUAUUUUACAUUUAUAGCAUAUCUCAAUUUGGGCUACAUUUCAAGGGCUCAAAAGCAGAUCUAUGGUCUAUCCUAAUAAUUACAUUGAACUAUAUAAAUACUCCUGCUUUAUAACAAUAACCACAGCUACCUUUUAUUGCCUUGUUAUGUGGUAGUCACUAUAAUAAUUUCCAUGUUUUUCUUAUUUCAUCUUCAAAGCUAUGAUGGAAAUUCCAUUGUCACCCAUAUUUUCUAGAUGGAAUAACAAGAGACUUCAAAGGGUUUAACGGCCUUGCCUAAAGCUGUGGAGUUAACAAGUGAUGGACCAGGGAUUCAAAUACAAAGAUUUAUAUGUACAUUGAAAUAAGGCCUAAGGGCUAUGUAGAAACCUCCUUUCACACUGGUACCCUGCACUGGCCUGAAGUUUCCUUCUACUCAGCUUGUAAAAGGGACAUUCAACUUUUCUCACAGUUUUCUAAUGUGAAUAUGCUGUUUGCUUCCUGCUUGGACCCUGACUGAUUCAAAAGCGUUAUUUCCAACUUUCGGUUGAAGUCCAUCCUGCUUCUCUUUUUGACAGGCAACAAUUUUUCUUGGAAAGAACAUCAUGGUGAUAGAAUUUUAAUCUGAAUAUAAAUUCCAUAUCUGCAUUCCUUGGGCAGGUUGGCUCCAGUACGUUUCAAGUGCCAGCAACUGAAGGUGAACUCUGGUUGCUUCCAGGCCUCCCUUGCAUGAUUUGGGGUUAGAAUUGUCCAAAUACCAUGAGUAAUAUGGAAGUUCUCUGAAGGACAUGGAGAACAACCACGGCUGUGCCCGGUUCUUCAGGUGGCUGCCAGUCCCCCCGUGCCUGCUCCCUGUCCCUGCCUGCCUUCCCGCUGAUGAUGACUGACGUUCUGGGACGGAGGAGCAGGUGUGUGGUGUCUGCCCUUGGCGUGUUGAAGCAUGACUUGAAAGAGGAAAUUUGAAUUUUUCUUAUUCUUAGAAGAGAGGAGAACCAGAGGGAUGACAGAUUCCCAUAGGAAAUGCACACACCUGUUUUUUUUUUUGUUUUUUUUUUUUUGGAUUUGGUGCUCUAGGCAGUUUCAGAAAACAAACCCCAGAGUGAAACCAUCAACAUGAGAAUGCCUUUGUGCCCUUCAAAAUUAUUCUCAAAAGCUAAAUAGCACUUUCUGACCAGGUGCAGGAGAAUUUUUUCCUCCAUUUUUCUAACUCAGAACUAAUUUUUAUUGCCUUUCUGGGCAAUAAAUCAUUUUUUAAAACCAUGUUUGGAUAAAAUUAUCUAGGAGAUAACAUCAACAAUUUUUAAACACUGAUAUUUUGGUUUAUAACCUUUAAAAACAAAAUCUAAAGUAUUUUGGACAACUAUAUAUUCAAAUAAGAUUUAGAUAUGAAUAUAUAAAUUGUGUUUGUGGAUGAUAAAUAUGUAGCCUACCCAGAAAUUAGCCUUAUUAAUUAAGAGAACUAUUAUCUGAUAUUUUUUCCCAGGUUAGGCCUAGGUACAGUUGUGUGCUGGUAAAUUUGUAACAAAAGGCUCUCCAGGGGAAGAAAAGCCCUGAUUUUCAGUGUUUGCCAAUUUCCACGGUAUUAAAAGUACUCACACCAAGGCCGGUUUUAAGCAGUGCUCCUGAAGUCCCUGAAGACAGAGUUGAAAAGCAUCGUGCACAGUUGACUCUUCUAAGCUAGUCCGAGCUGGCUCCAACACACUACUGCCUAUGUAAGUAUCUAUAAAUAAUACAACUUAGAGGGUUCAUAAGCAUAACAAUGGGAUAUAUUCAGAAUGAUUGAAUACUGACUCAGAAAGAAAACUAUACAAUUUUGCUAUACCAUAAACCAUAAAAGUGUAUCAUAGGAACUGUGACCAAGAAUGUAAUUGUUGACCUCAGAUGGUCCUGAUUCUUCCUUUUCUAGCUUCUGGGAACACUCUUUUUUGUGUCCUGUCCUGGUUAUGCUGAGAGUCUGCAUCUUGCUUCAGAGAAUUUACUAAAAUCACAGGAAGGUCUGAAUUCUCAUUUGUACAUUCGACACCAAGUAUAUGGAGGCUUUCCCAAUUGCUCUGUGUGAAGGACUUGAGUUUUCUUCCAGCAUCAGCUGAAAAUACCAAAUGCCUGUUUGUGUGGAAAUUUCCUGAGACUACAGCUCUUAACUCUCUGACCUGAGUAGUAUAUGUGUGAAUUUUCCAUCAGGUUGUAUUCUCUGCAUUUUUCUCUGCCGUAUGGUGGCAAAUGAUUGUCCUAAUGUAUAAGAUCCCCUUUCAGCCUCCUACCCCCAGCCUCAGUACUGCCCCUGAGCUCGGGAAGAGAACCCCUUGCCCUGGGCUCCUCCUACAUUUGAGAUUUGACUCUAGAUAUCUGUUGGCUAUGUCCCUUUCCACUAAGUCUGUGGACCCCACUUCUAAGACUAUUGUCUGGAUUCUGGAGAGUCCAGAAUUCUCUGCCUGAAAGGCUCUGAACCUAUUGGACCUGUAGUGGCCUCUUUGCCUUAUCCAUUCUCCAAAGGGUAGACUAUGCCAAAUCCCAAGAUUUUGAUUAAGAACAGCUAGCUUGUGUGUUUUUUUGUUUUUGUUUGGUGAGGGUGGUUGUGGAUGGUACUACACCUAAAGGCCACCAUGGAUGUUCACAUAGCACUCAUGCUUGUUGUGCAGACCAUAUGGAGCCAAUAGCAAGAAUGUUAAGGGAUCCAGCAAAAUCAGAAGGCCUGGGGGCAAUGGCUGGGUCUCCCCUACCUGUUGUCACAUUUCAGUGUGGACCUCUGAAGAUUGCAAGCAUCCUGAAUUUGAACCUUCCUUUGUAGUGAAGGAUGGAAUCUAUUUCAUUUAAGAGCUCGUUGGCUUAAUUUAAACUUUUAAAUAUUUAGACAGAUAGUAUAUGAACCUCCAUUUAUACUCUUGCACCAGACUCUGCAAAUAUUGGCCAGGCCUUCCCAAAACACAGUUUUUUUUUUCUUUUCUUUUUUUUUUUUUAGUGUCCUCUUUUCUCUUUCAAGUGUACAGUCUAGGUGAGUAAGGAUUAGGUUUUUAAGAGGGAAAAGUCCCAGAGAAAGUGUCAUAAGCAUGGGAAUGAGUCCACCAAAGACUAGGAAGCUGAUGAUCCAAUGUAAUUGCCAGAGAGAAUGUGGUGGAUCUAACCCUUGGAGCUGCUAAGAGGACAAACACUGAUGCCCAGACCAGCAGCAGGUCUGGCAAUGGCAACUGUCUGGUCUCAUGGACAGGAAUACAGACUGGGUUAAACCGAGAUCUACUUGUUUCUCCUAUUUCCUAACUCUCCCCUACAAGGCCAUCACUUUCCUCCUUGUGUGCUCAAGAAACCUAAUAAAUGUCCUGCAGGAAGAGUUACAGGUGCCUCAGAGUUCUGGACUCUCCUGCAAUUGCUGUGUCACCUUAAUCUUUUCUCUUUGACCAUGGUCAGUUUGUGAUUUGCUGAAGUGAACCAAUGAGCAUUUUAAACCCCAUUGGGUAGGAAGAGUCAUUUUCUGCUUGGACUCUGGACUGGAAACAAACCUUCCCAUUGUGCAGCACUAUGGUCCUUUCUGUGUGCUGUCAUUAAUCUUUUCUCAACUGCCCAGCUGCAGUGACUCUAGGACAUUACAACAUAAUUCCUUCCUACUCAAUAUCAUGUAGGCCACAUAUAUGAACAGACCAUUUCCUGACAUUUUUUUCAGAAAAAUCAGUAUCAGUGUGGGAAUUCAAUGACACUCUAGACUUGUGUCAUUUUUAUGUACUAAACAAAAUGGUACUAUAAAAAUUCAACAUAGUCUCAAGAAGGUCCCAGUUAGUGCACAUGUAAUAACAAUACUCAAGUUUCACUGGCAAUUCUUGCAGGAAGGAUAUUCUGGUAUCUUCUAAUUAGUAAAAAAAAAAAAA